AGUGAACGCUGGCGGUAGGCCUAACACAUGCAAGUCGAACGGCAGCACAGUGAGAGCUUGCUCUUACGGGUGGCGAGUGGCGGACGGGUGAGGAAUACAUCGGAAUCUACUUUUUCGUGGGGGAUAACGUAGGGAAACUUACGCUAAUACCGCAUACGACCUACAGGUGAAAGCAGGGGAUCUUCGGACCUUGCGCGAUUGAAUGAGCCGAUGUCGGAUUAGCUAGUUGGCGGGGUAAAGGCCCACCAAGGCGACGAUCCGUAGCUGGUCUGAGAGGAUGAUCAGCCACACUGGAACUGAGACACGGUCCAGACUCCUACGGGAGGCAGCAGUGGGGAAUAUUGGACAAUGGGCGCAAGCCUGAUCCAGCCAUACCGCGUGGGUGAAGAAGGCCUUCGGGUUGUAAAGCCCUUUUGUUGGGAAAGAAAAGCAGCAGGUUAAUACCCCGCUGUUCUGACGGUACCCAAAGAAUAAGCACCGGCUAACUUCGUG
RNAcentral lists this ribosomal RNA (492 nucleotides) under uncultured bacterium. Its description in RNAcentral is "partial 16S ribosomal RNA". It matches the Rfam family "Bacterial small subunit ribosomal RNA", at positions 29 to 507 of the family's 1533-position model. The record is from RNAcentral.